Molecule: ribosomal RNA, 253 nt
Filed under: uncultured bacterium
Lineage: Bacteria
Description: partial 16S ribosomal RNA
Rfam family: Bacterial small subunit ribosomal RNA
Source: RNAcentral
UACAGGGGGGGCAAGCGUUGUUCGGAAUUACUGGGCGUAAAGGGCUCGUAGGCGGCCAACUAAGUCCGACGUGAAAUCCCAAAGCUUAACUUUGGAACUGCGUCGGAUACUGGAUGGCUUGAAUUCGGGAGAGGGAUGCAGAAUUCCAGGUGUAGCGGUGAAGUGCGUAGAUAUCUGGAGGAAUACCGGUGGCGAAGGCGGCAUCCUGGACCGACAUUGACGCUGAGGAGCGAAAGCUAGGGGAGCAAACGGG